This 253-nucleotide ribosomal RNA is filed under the name uncultured bacterium. RNAcentral describes it as "partial 16S ribosomal RNA". It matches the Rfam family "Bacterial small subunit ribosomal RNA", at positions 524 to 776 of the family's 1533-position model. The record is from RNAcentral.
UACAGAGGGUGCGAGCGUUAAUCGGAAUUACUGGGCGUAAAGCGCGCGUAGGCGGUUUUGUAAGUCGGGUGUGAAAUCCCCAGGCUCAACCUGGGAACUGCAUUCGAGACUGCAUGACUGGAGUAUGGGAGAGGACAGCGGAAUUUCCGGUGUAGCGGUGAAAUGCGUAGAUAUCGGAAGGAACAUCAGUGGCGAAGGCGGCUGUCUGGCCCAAUACUGACGCUCAUGUGCGAAAGCGUGGGGAGCAAACAGG